GACGAACGCUGGCGGCGUGCUUAACACAUGCAAGUGGAGCGACGAACCGGGCUUCGGCCCGGGGCAAAGCCGCGAACGGGUGAGUAACACGUGGGUAACCUGCCCCGAUGACCGGGACAACCCGAGGAAACUCGGGCUAAUACCGGAUGUGCUCGCAGCACAUCAGUGGAGCGAGUAAGAAGCUUCGGCCUCCGCAUUGGGAUGGGCCCGCGGCCCAUUAGCUUGUUGGUGAGGUAAAAGCUCACCAAGGCAACGAUGGGUAGCUGGUCUGAGAGGACGAUCAGCCACACUGGGACUGAGACACGGCCCAGACUCCUACGGGAGGCAGCAGUGGGGAAUCUUGCGCAAUGCGCGAAAGCGUGACGCAGCAACGCCGCGUGAGGGAAGACGG
RNAcentral lists this ribosomal RNA (391 nucleotides) under uncultured bacterium. Its description in RNAcentral is "bacterial SSU rRNA". It matches the Rfam family "Bacterial small subunit ribosomal RNA", at positions 28 to 414 of the family's 1533-position model. The record is from RNAcentral.